GAGGGCCACAGCAAGCUGCUUUCUCUCAUGGGGACAGACCCUGGGACCAACGUUAUCUGGAAAGAGCUGCUCAUCUUGAAGACAAGAUGACGAAGCUGUGACAAGGCGAAGGCCCUGUGGUGUCGAAAGCACAUGAUGGAGAGCAUCCUGCAGGAGUCUGUGGAGCAACUGGGCUAGGAAGGCAGAUCAUCUGCAAAUAAUCCAUUUCACUCCCAGGGUCUCGUGCACGGAGGCUUGUGCUGUGGCAUCUGGGACACAGGAAGUGCAGGGAACAUGUGGAUCCAUGAAAAUAGCAGACUCUAUUCACGGAGCUCCAGCAGGAAAUGCUCCCUGGACGUGCCUCUCCUUGGAGGAGGCUAGACAGCCCUUCUUUGAAAAGCAGAAUGGAUUUAACAAAAGCCUUGCACCGAGCUGCCCCAAUCUCUCUGACAGCGCUGCCCGCCCAGCAGGGUCCAGACACGAACAGGGCUGGAGGGAUUCCAGCUGCCUGAGCUGAGACUUUCCAUAGUCAGUCGCUUAGAUCAAAACUCCACCAGCAGCAAUCUCAUUCGGCGCUGAACGCUCCACGCUUCUUCCUUUCCCGCUCCUGGGCUUCAGCUCGGCGCUGAGGUUCCCCAGCCUCUCUGCUCCUUUUGUCUCUUUGUGAAAGGCCGGUCCUGCACCACUGCCUGCCAAGCACAGCCGCAGUCUCGCCCUCGCGGCCGAAGUGCUGACUGACCCCCUGGGGAUGAUGAUGCGCUGUCCUCACUUUGCCCUGAGCGCUGAAUGUCUCUGGCUACUUCUUGCUCCUCUUCACUCCGCCGCCGCAAAACCCUCCUUGCUCUCCAUGCUCUAGCAACACGACAGAGUAACACACGGGGCCCUUUCCAACAGGCUGCAGCUGCAUAUUCUGCCCGCUCCGCUGAUGCCACUGAAGGGAGGACAGGUGAUGGCCUACUAGGUGAAACACAGAUGAGCUUGUUGCAGAGGAGAGGGAGACCGUUUCAUUGUGUGAUAUGCUUAUUGCCAUGGUAGCCGGACACCAACCAUCUUAUUUUAACUCUCUCAGGGCUACUGGGUGUGGAAGCUCGCUCCUUCCCAUUUUCUCGUUCUGUGCUUUCCCCAGGUCCCCUAAGCCCUGGAUCUGUUGUGAUCUGACUAAGUGAGGGAAAUGCAAAACAGUGCUCAGGAGUUCCUGCCCUUGUAACAAAGCCCUGGGCUUCGGACAACAGGCGAGGCACAUGUUGCUUGGUGAACGUCACUCUCCAGUACAGCCAGGGAGCCAGGAUUAGAACCGCGAUCCUUUGGCUUCAGAAACGUGCAUCGCUACCCAUCCAGCUGAAGGACAGCGCUCUAGCUGGUGCCAGUGAAUGAUCCCUCGCCUGACCUGUGGGUCCAUCCACUACCAGGCAGCACCCCUCAAAGCCAGUUCGUUCCCCUCCAACUCUGAAUAUUUAUUUACCCCGGGCCUUGCUUGGGAAAGGGGAUGGCCUGCCUUAUGAAAUGGGGGCAGACAUAGGCUUAAAAGCUCCCAAGCCGGGCCAGACAAUAAAACCAUCAGGGAAAUCACGGGGCAGGAAGUUUGGACAAGUGCUGGCUGACGCGAAAAUGAAUGGGUUUUCUAUGCUCGAGGAUGUGGCCCAGGCCCAGGGGAAUAAAGCCGGCAUUGUAGUGACAAAGUCUCGGCCUGCGAAGAGGAACUUCGUGCCUGCAGUCAAGGGUCACAACCACAGGGCUCAAUCCCGAGGGGGCUGUUGAUCUUCCGCCCUCUCUCGCUUCCCAUUUGGUUACUGGAACUUGGCUAGU
Chelonia mydas (Green sea turtle) is the source of this 1785-nucleotide long non-coding RNA. RefSeq lists it as uncharacterized. NCBI's taxonomy places the organism in Eukaryota, Metazoa, Chordata, Testudines, Cheloniidae. The record is from RefSeq and is a predicted model, not a curated record. The transcript is spliced from 3 exons.